CCUACGGGAGGCAGCAGUAGGGAAUAUUGCUCAAUGGGGGAAACCCUGAAGCAGCAACGCCGCGUGGAGGAUGAAGGUUUUCGGAUUGUAAACUCCUUUUGGUAGAGAAGAUAAUGACGGUAUCUAACGAAUAAGCACCGGCUAACUCCGUGCCAGCAGCCGCGGUAAUACGGAGGGUGCAAGCGUUACUCGGAAUCACUGGGCGGAAAGAGCGCGUAGGCGGGAUAGCAAGUCAGAGGUGAAAUCCUAUGGCUUAACCAUAGAACUGCAUUUGAAACUGUUAUUCUAGAGUAUGGGAGAGGUAGGUGGAAUUCUUGGUGUAGGGGUAAAAUCCGUAGAGAUCAAGAGGAAUACUCAUUGCGAAGGCGACCUGCUAGAACAUAACUGACGCUGAUGCGCGAAAGCGUGGGGAGCAAACAGGAUUAGAUACCCGGGUAGUC
RNAcentral lists this ribosomal RNA (440 nucleotides) under uncultured bacterium. RNAcentral's name for it is "partial 16S ribosomal RNA". It matches the Rfam family "Bacterial small subunit ribosomal RNA", at positions 338 to 795 of the family's 1533-position model. The record is from RNAcentral.